CUCCUACAAAGAUGUGACCUCACU
Molecule: non-coding RNA, 24 nt
Filed under: Rattus norvegicus (Norway rat)
Lineage: Eukaryota; Metazoa; Chordata; Mammalia; Rodentia; Muridae
Source: RNAcentral